RNAcentral lists this unclassified non-coding RNA (332 nucleotides) under soil metagenome. RNAcentral's name for it is "partial contains 5.8S ribosomal RNA, internal transcribed spacer 2, and large subunit ribosomal RNA". The stretch from base 1 to 120 matches the Rfam family "5.8S ribosomal RNA", at positions 35 to 154 of the family's 154-position model. The record is from RNAcentral.
GAUGAAGAACGCAGCGAAAUGCGAUAAGUAGUGUGAAUUGCAGAAUUCAGUGAAUCAUCGAAUCUUUGAACGCACAUUGCGCCCUUUGGUAUUCCUUAGGGCAUGCCUGUUCGAGCGUCAUUUAAACCUUCAAGCUAAGCUUGGUGUUGGGUGACUGUCCGCUUCACGGCGGACUCGCCUCAAAAUUAUUGGCGGCCGGUACAUUGGCUUCGAGCGCAGAAGAAACGCGAACUCGGGCCCGUCGUAUUGGCUCCCAGAAGCUAUCUUCACAAUUUUGACCUCGGAUCAGGUAGGGAUACCCGCUGAACUUAAGCAUAUCAAUAAGCGGAGGA